Paralichthys olivaceus (Japanese flounder) is the source of this 1718-nucleotide long non-coding RNA. RefSeq lists it as uncharacterized. The record is from RefSeq and is a predicted model, not a curated record. NCBI's taxonomy places the organism in Eukaryota, Metazoa, Chordata, Actinopteri, Pleuronectiformes, Paralichthyidae.
UCGUGACACUGCAUAUUUUGCAGCUCAGCCUCAGACUGAACGUUUACAGCUCUGCACAAAACAACUGCAAAACCAUGAAUCAGGUCCAAAUUGAAUACUGUCAAGGAUGAGGGUACGCAUCCCACUUCAGGGAUCUGGAAAGAGCCCUCAGAAGGGUCCCUGGUGUGGCAGUGACGGGAUUCUGGGGAAGACAGGGCAGCUUUGAGGUGUCACUGAACGGGCAGAUGAUCUACUCCAAACUGGCAAAAAAGUCAUUUCCUGAUAAUAAAGUGAUUGUAAAGAUGGUGACGGAGAUGGUCGGUAAAAAUAUGAAGUAAAAGCAUCGGAGCAACUACAGCUCUGAAGAGGAUGGAGGAUCAAAUAAGAUCUGUAUUCACACUAAGGGUACGACAUGAUUUGUCUUCUGUGGUUCAGAACCAGAAGUUUAAAUGUGGACCAUGACCAACCAAGAAGAUGAGCCCAUGUGGUAUCUUUAUUGUGAAUACAGACAAAGGCGAGGAGACGAUGGGAGCCACACUGAGGAGCCGGCACUGACUUCUGUUUAUGAAUGUAUACACUGGAAAACAUGUGGUGUGUACACGAUGCAAGUCCAGAAGUUUUUCGCCCGGAGCCUGAGGAUGUGCUCUCAUCCUGUCUGUCUGUACUCCCAUGCAACAUUUCUUUAGCUGUCUCAAUCCAAUCCACUUAUUCCAUCAUCUGUUUUCUUCUGUUUAUAGAAAUCUAAAGGUCUCUGUGCUGUGAUAGGACACGAUUAAAAGAAUAGUUUGAUAUUUUUAGAAAAAAACUAGUUUGCCUUCUCGCCACAAGAUGAGCAGAUUGAUACCACUGUCAUUCCUUCGACAUAAAGCCACUGGUAACAUCCAGUUAUCUGAAGCUCACAAAUUAACUAGCAAUUUGCAGUGUCAGAGGGUUCAUUUGUUGACCCAGAUCACUUAAUAUAAAAUUAAAUGAAUGUAAAAUGGCUCAUAGUUUUACAUUUAGGUUUUUGGAUGGACUGAACAAACAGGAUAUCACAGGUUUUUUUAGCUAAACAGUCUCUGGCUCUAGCAUUGUAUUUAUGUCACAUGACAGAGGUAUCUUCUCAUCUUGCUAACUCUUGGCAGGGCAGAGGAAAUAUUCAACUUUAUUUUGUGUUAUGUUGCAAACAGAAAAUGCACCUCAAACUUCUGAUUCUUCUUAAAUAUUGGGCCUUUUCUAGAUCAUCUUGGAUGAGCUACUACUACUGAGCAUUUUCUACCUUCUCCAUCACUGAUUAAUAGUCAUUUAAUGACAAAUGGGAUGCUGGAGGUCCGGCGGCGUUGGAGCUGCUGAGAGAAAGUCUAGGCCGUACAAUGCCGUCAUAUAAUAUACAAAUAUUUGGCAACAGUUUUAAAACAUUUUACUCAACAAAAAGCAGCAAAUGUCCUCUGUGCAAUAGAUGGGCUGCAGCAAAAAGACACCACGUGUUCUAAAAUUAAAUAUAAUACUGACUAAGUCAAAAUAAAAAAAGAAUAGGCCUUUUGCUUUCAAAAUUUUACUUUAGUUUAAAAAAAUAAAUGUUUUAGUCAACUUUGGUUUGUUUUGUUGUUGCCGGUGAUGCUGCUGCAGUCCCCCCAACAACCCGACUUCCAGCAUCCUUGAAAUAUUUCACAUAUCAAACUGUUUCUAAACAAGAAAUCACCAACUCCAAUAACAAUUCAGUCCAUUUUCGACGAAUGCAAUAAAAAACUAUGGAUUCA